This is a long non-coding RNA of Cephus cinctus (wheat stem sawfly), 263 nucleotides long. RefSeq lists it as uncharacterized. Lineage: Eukaryota; Metazoa; Arthropoda; Insecta; Hymenoptera; Cephidae. The transcript has 2 exons. The record is from RefSeq and is a predicted model, not a curated record.
UUUACUUAAGACUCGGUAGACAAUUGCUGAGCGGUUUGGGAGUUCGUUUUGGUGAUGAAGUGUCCGACAUGAUUGUCAGAAUCAAGAGAGGACUCCUGAGGUGCUGUUAUUCUCAACCACCUGAGCCACCAGAUACCAAAAGAAAUACCUCCAGCAGUAUAUAAAUCACAAGCAUACGUCUUAUCGAGUAUUAUGCUUCAUUUGUAUGAUAUUGUAUAAACAGAGAAGAUAUUCAGAAAAUUAAAUGAACUGUUUAUAAGAAA